AUCCAGAUGACGAGCCGCAAAUAGGACGAAACGCGUUUCCUGGAU
Molecule: non-coding RNA, 45 nt
Organism: Schistosoma mansoni
Lineage: Eukaryota; Metazoa; Platyhelminthes; Trematoda; Strigeidida; Schistosomatidae
Source: Rfam